RNAcentral lists this ribosomal RNA (254 nucleotides) under uncultured bacterium. RNAcentral describes it as "partial 16S ribosomal RNA". It matches the Rfam family "Bacterial small subunit ribosomal RNA", at positions 524 to 776 of the family's 1533-position model. The record is from RNAcentral.
UACGUAGGGGCCUAGCGUUGUCCGGAUUUAUUGGGCGUAAAGAGCUCGUAGGCGGUUCGGUAAGUCAGGUGUGAAAUCUCCACGCUCAACGUGGAGGCGCCACCUGAAACUGCCGUGACUCGAGUCCGGUAGGGGAGUGUGGAAUUCCCGGUGUAGCGGUGAAAUGCGCAGAUAUCGGGAGGAACACCUGAGGCGAAGGCGGGUUACUGGGCUGAUACUGACGCUGAUGCGCGAAAGCCAGGGGAGCAAACGGG